RNAcentral lists this ribosomal RNA (406 nucleotides) under uncultured bacterium. RNAcentral's name for it is "partial 16S ribosomal RNA". It matches the Rfam family "Bacterial small subunit ribosomal RNA", at positions 30 to 526 of the family's 1533-position model. The record is from RNAcentral.
AUUGAACGCUGGCGGCAGGCUUAACACAUGCAAGUCGAGCGAGCGGCGGACGGGUGAGUAAUGUCUGGGAAACUGCCUGAUGGAGGGGGAUAACUACUGGAAACGGUAGCUAAUACCGCAUACCAUCAGAUGUGCCCAGAUGGGAUUAGCUAGUAGGUGGGGUAAAGGCUCACCUAGGCGACGAUCCCUAGCUGGUCUGAGAGGAUGACCAGCCACUCUGGAACUGAGACACGGUCCAGACUCCUACGGGAGGAAGCAGUGGGGAAAAUUGCACAAUGGGCGCAAGCCUGAUGCAGCCAUGCCGCGUGUAUGAAGAAGGCACUCGGGUUGUAAAGUACUUUCAGCGGGGAGGCGUUACCCGCAGGAGAAGCACCGGCUAACUCCUUGCCAGCAGCCGCGGUAAUUC